UUAAAAACAUGAGAAAUUAAAAAGUGGAUUCCAAAAGCCUUAAAAUAAAAAAUAAAAAAAUAAAAAAAUUAAUUAAUUUAAAAGGUGGGGGGCUGGUUUUGGACAACUCGGACAAGUUGGGCCGGUCUGCACUAAUUGCGCAAGGUGGGCUCGCGGGUUGGGUCACGAGUCGUCCACUGGGCCGGUUGGGCUGGCUUCAGGGCCAUUUGCGCAGGGUGAGCAUGUUCGGCCCCUUGGGCCUAUGCGUGCACUACUGAUUCUGCGUGCGAGGCUUGCGUGCCUCUUGGGCUGUGCGAGCAGGCCUGCUGCCCGGCUUGAACCCGCAUGUGUGCGGGCCUUGCAGUGUAUAUGCACGUAUGUGGCCUAUCUUCCUCAGGCGUGGACUGCCCAUGGGUGCAGCAUCCUUGGGUCGUGGCCCAUCUUGACCAUAAGGCCCUGAGGCCUUCUCGAGUUGGGCUCAAAGCUUGGGCUUCCUUUUGAUUCUUCAAGCUUAUUAAUCUUACUUGGGCCUUAAGCCUUUUAGUUUGGACAAACUUGACCUAUCUCUUGAAAUAAUCCCAAUUAGGAAAGUAGUUAGGGAUGAAAUUAAUUUCCUGUUCUGAACGUUCCCGUUUAACAAAUUGAAACUUACUUUCUUGCUUGAGUCGAGACCUACUGGAUUCUUCUUUGAUGCAGAUUGACAUCCUUAACACUAAAUUUGGGUUAUCCAAGUUCACAUCAUCCCCUCCUUUAAAAAUAUUUGUCAUCGAAGCUUGACCUUCAUCAAAAGAAGAAUGGUU
This 779-nucleotide long non-coding RNA is filed under the name Carica papaya (papaya). RNAcentral describes it as "long non-coding RNA (CPAP_LNC003880)". The record is from RNAcentral. Lineage: Eukaryota; Viridiplantae; Streptophyta; Magnoliopsida; Brassicales; Caricaceae.